RNAcentral lists this ribosomal RNA (405 nucleotides) under uncultured bacterium. Its description in RNAcentral is "bacterial SSU rRNA". It matches the Rfam family "Bacterial small subunit ribosomal RNA", at positions 28 to 416 of the family's 1533-position model. The record is from RNAcentral.
GACGAACGCUGGCGGCGUGCCUAACACAUGCAAGUCGUGCGAGAAAGUUCCUUCGGGAGCGAGUAAAGCGGCGCACGGGUGAGUAACACGUAGGUAACCUGCCCCCCAGUCUGGAACAACUAGAGGAAACUCUAGCUAAUGCCGGAUGAGACCACGAUCCCUUCGGGGGUUGCGGCCAAAGAUGGCCUCUACUUGUAAGCUAUCGCUGAGGGAUGGGCCUGCGGGCCAUUAGCUUGUUGGUGAGGUAACGGCUCACCAAGGCUGUGAUGGCUAGCUGGUCUGAGAGGAUGACCAGCCACACUGGGACUGAGACACGGCCCAGGACUCCUACGGGAGGCAGCAGUGGGGAAUAUUGCGCAAUGGGCGAAAGCCUGACGCAGCGACGCCGCGUGGGUGAUGAAGGCC